RNAcentral lists this transfer RNA (62 nucleotides) under Olidiana ritcheriina. Its description in RNAcentral is "tRNA-Ile". Lineage: Eukaryota; Metazoa; Arthropoda; Insecta; Hemiptera; Cicadellidae. The record is from RNAcentral.
AAUUAGAUGCCUGAAAAAAGGAUUAUUUUGAUAGAAUAAAAAAUGUAUUAUUACUCUAAUUA